Molecule: ribosomal RNA, 823 nt
Filed under: uncultured bacterium
Lineage: Bacteria
Description: bacterial SSU rRNA
Rfam family: Bacterial small subunit ribosomal RNA
Source: RNAcentral
GCAGUCGAGCGAUGAAAUCCCUUCGGGGAUGGAUUAGCGGCGGACGGGUGAGUAACACGUGGGUAACCUGCCUCAAAGAGGGGGAUAGCCUCCCGAAAGGGAGAUUAAUACCGCAUAACAUUGGUUUUUCGCAUGGGAAACUAAUUAAAGGAGUAAUCCGCUUUGAGAUGGACCCGCGGCGCAUUAGCUAGUUGGUGAGGUAACGGCUCACCAAGGCGACGAUGCGUAGCCGACCUGAGAGGGUGAUCGGCCACAUUGGAACUGAGACACGGUCCAGACUCCUACGGGAGGCAGCAGUGGGGAAUAUUGCACAAUGGGCGAAAGCCUGAUGCAGCAACGCCGCGUGAGUGAUGAAGGCCUUCGGGUUGUAAAGCUCUGUCUUUUGGGACGAUAAUGACGGUACCAAAGGAGGAAGCCACGGCUAACUACGUGCCAGCAGCCGCGGUAAUACGUAGGUGGCAAGCGUUGUCCGGAUUUACUGGGCGUAAAGGAUGCGUAGGCGGACUUUUAAGUGAGAUGUGAAAACCCCGGGCUCAACUUGGGGACUGCAUUUCAAACUGGAAGUCUAGAGUGCGGGAGAGGAAAGUGGAAUUCCUAGUGUAGCGGUGAAAUGCGUAGAGAUUAGGAAGAACACCAGUGGCGAAGGCGACUUUCUGGACCGUAACUGACGCUGAGGCAUGAAAGCGUGGGUAGCAAACAGGAUUAGAUACCCUGGUAGUCCACGCCGUAAACGAUGAGUACUAGGUGUAGGAGGUAUCGACCCCUUCUGUGCCGCAGUUAACACAAUAAGUACUCCGCCUGGGAAGUACGAUCGCAAGAUUAA